RNAcentral lists this unclassified non-coding RNA (330 nucleotides) under soil metagenome. Its description in RNAcentral is "partial contains 5.8S ribosomal RNA, internal transcribed spacer 2, and large subunit ribosomal RNA". The stretch from base 1 to 120 matches the Rfam family "5.8S ribosomal RNA", at positions 35 to 154 of the family's 154-position model. The record is from RNAcentral.
GAUGAAGAACGUAGCGAAAUGCGAUAAGUAAUGUGAAUUGCAGAAUUCAGUGAAUCAUCGAAUCUUUGAACGAACAUUGCGCCCCUUGGUAUUCCGAGGGGCAUGCCUGUUCGAGCGUCAUUAUAACCCCUCAAGCUUAGCUUGGUGUUGGGGCCUGCUGUAAUAGAGCAGCCCUUAAAAUCAGUGGCGGUGCCAUUAGGCUCUAAGCGUAGUAAUUCUUCUCGCUAUAGGGUUCUGGUGGAUGCUUGCCAUUAACCUCUAAUUUUCUAUGGUUGACCUCGGAUCAGGUAGGGAUACCCGCUGAACUUAAGCAUAUCAAUAAGCGGAGGA